UUACCAGAGCACCUCGGGCCU
RNAcentral lists this non-coding RNA (21 nucleotides) under Rattus norvegicus (Norway rat). The record is from RNAcentral. Lineage: Eukaryota; Metazoa; Chordata; Mammalia; Rodentia; Muridae.